GGCAUUAUUAAUGGAUUUGAACUGGAAUGAAUGUCUUGGAUUUGAUUUAGCGUCAUUCGGCAUCCAUGAAUUUUCUCAAUAAUUUAAGAGUCUUUGCCUUUACAAGUUACAUUUAUUGUCCUGGAAUGUGAUUAUUAACUUGCCACCCUAAACCCUGACUUCUUUCCAUUUCCCUGAUGGUUGAUUUUUUAGGCACUGUUUUUGCUCCUUAGUUUGCUUGACCUUGCAUUUUCAGGUUCGUUUUCUAAUAAAAUACAAGGCAGAGUACAAUUAUUUUGUAUGUCAUCAUGUGUAUAUAGUUCAUUGUUUGCUGGUUGAUUUUGGUAGAUUAAAAAAAUUGAAUGUGAAGGGUUUCUAUUCCUAUAUUGUUGGCCUCGUACUUUGAAACAAGUUUUAUAUUUGUCAUUUAUUAUAUCUGCAAAACUUCAUUCAAAACUGAUAUUAUUUACCCAUUCAGAAGCAUGAAUAAAGUUUUUGUUUUGAAAAAAAUGACUUAGGAUAGCGUAUG
This 508-nucleotide long non-coding RNA is filed under the name Phaseolus vulgaris (common bean). RNAcentral describes it as "long non-coding RNA (PVUL_LNC004725)". The record is from RNAcentral. Lineage: Eukaryota; Viridiplantae; Streptophyta; Magnoliopsida; Fabales; Fabaceae.